UUGACAAGGUCUGAGUGAUUCAAUGUUACAAGACUCCUAAAAGCCACCAUGUACAGAUUUAACAGAAAGGGGGAUUAUUCAAUACCCAACAGAAACUGAACUGACGUGGUCAAACCUUGGAAAAGAGGACUAAAUGAUGACAUAGCACCCAGUGAUAUUGAUACUAAGGGAUAUUAUAGAUAUAGUAGACCUAGAGCUAGGGACGUUAAUUUAAAAGCUUUGGUUUUUGAACUUAUCAUUCUUCCAAAGCAAUUGCUAGAUCUGUGGGCAGGUUUUAUCUUCAAGUACACCAAGGAUAAGUGGAGAUCGAUUGAAGACAUUUG
Long non-coding RNA from Amphimedon queenslandica, 323 nucleotides. RefSeq lists it as uncharacterized. NCBI's taxonomy places the organism in Eukaryota, Metazoa, Porifera, Demospongiae, Haplosclerida, Niphatidae. The record is from RefSeq and is a predicted model, not a curated record. The transcript has 4 exons.